AGAGUUUGAUCCUGGCUCAGAACGAACGCUGGCGGCAGGCCUAAAACAUGCAAGUUGAACGCUGUAGCAAUACAGAGUAGCGCACGGGUGCGUAACACGUGGGAAUAUGCCUUUUGGUACGGAACAACUUUUGGAAACGAAAGCUAAUACCGUAUGGUCCCUCCGGGGUAAAGAUUUAUCGCCAAAAGAGUAGCCCGCGCCUGAUUAGCUAGUUGGUGAGGUAAUGGCUCACCAAGGCGACGAUCAGUAGCUGGUCUGAGGGGACGAUCAGCCACACUGGGACUGAGACACGGCCCAGACUCCUACGGGAGGCAGCAGUUAGGAAUCUUGGACAAUGGGCGAAAGCCUGAUCCAGCCAUGCCGCGUGAGUGAUGAAGGCCUUCGGGUUGUAAAGCUCUUUAGCCGACGAAUAUAAUGACUGUAGUCGGAGAAUAAGCCCCGGCUAACUUCGUGCCAGCAGCCGCGGUAAUACGAAGGGGGCGAGCGUUGUUCGGAAUCACUGGGCGUAAAGCGUGCGUAGGCGGUUAUAAAAGUUAGGAGUGAAAUCCCAGGGCUCAACCUUGGAAUUGCUUUUAAAACUAUAUAACUCGAAUUCGGGAGAGGAUAGCGGAAUUGUCAGUGUAGCAGUGAAAUGCGUAGAUAUUGACAGGAACACCAGUGGCGUAAGCGGCUAUCUGGACCGACAUUGACGCUGAGGCACGAAAGCGUGGGGAUCAAACAGGAUUAGAUACCCUGGUAGUCCACGCCGUAAACGAUGUGUGUUUGUCGCUGGGGAGUUUACUCUUCGGUGACGGAGCUAACGCGUUAAGCACACCGCCUGGGAAGUACGGUCGCAAGAUUAAAACUCAAAGGAAUUGACGG
RNAcentral lists this ribosomal RNA (861 nucleotides) under uncultured Alphaproteobacteria bacterium. Its description in RNAcentral is "bacterial SSU rRNA". It matches the Rfam family "Bacterial small subunit ribosomal RNA", at positions 8 to 916 of the family's 1533-position model. Lineage: Bacteria; Pseudomonadati; Pseudomonadota; Alphaproteobacteria. The record is from RNAcentral.